UACAGAGGUCCCGAGCGUUGUUCGGAUUCACUGGGCGUAAAGGGUGCGUAGGUGGUGAGGUGUGUCGGAUGUGAAAUCUCGGAGCUCAACUCCGAAACUGCAUUGGAAACUACCUUGCUGGAGGGUUGGAGGGGGGACUGGAAUGCUUGGUGUAGCAGUGAAAUGCGUAGAUAUCAAGCGGAACACCAGUGGCGAAGGCGAGUCCCUGGACAACUCCUGACACUGAGGCACGAAAGCUAGGGGAGCAAACAGG
Molecule: ribosomal RNA, 253 nt
Filed under: uncultured bacterium
Lineage: Bacteria
Description: partial 16S ribosomal RNA
Rfam family: Bacterial small subunit ribosomal RNA
Source: RNAcentral